CGAGCGAAUGGAUUAAGAGCUUGCUCUUAUGAAGUUAGCGGCGGACGGGUGAGUAACACGUGGGUAACCUGCCCAUAAGACUGGGAUAACUCCGGGAAACCGGGGCUAAUACCGGAUAACAUUUUGAACCGCAUGGUUCGAAAUUGAAAGGCGGCUUCGGCUGUCACUUAUGGAUGGACCCGCGUCGCAUUAGCUAGUUGGUGAGGUAACGGCUCACCAAGGCAACGAUGCGUAGCCGACCUGAGAGGGUGAUCGGCCACACUGGGACUGAGACACGGCCCAGACUCCUACGGGAGGCAGCAGUAGGGAAUCUUCCGCAAUGGACGAAAGUCUGACGGAGCAACGCCGCGUGAGUGAUGAAGGCUUUCGGGUCGUAAAACUCUGUUGUUAGGGAAGAACAAGUGCUAGUUGAAUAAGCUGGCACCUUGACGGUACCUAACCAGAAAGCCACGGCUAACUACGUGCCAGCAGCCGCGGUAAUACGUAGGUGGCAAGCGUUAUCCGGAAUUAUUGGGCGUAAAGCGCGCGCAGGUGGUUUCUUAAGUCUGAUGUGAAAGCCCACGGCUCAACCGUGGAGGGUCAUUGGAAACUGGGAGACUUGAGUGCAGAAGAGGAAAGUGGAAUUCCAUGUGUAGCGGUGA
RNAcentral lists this ribosomal RNA (641 nucleotides) under Bacillus sp. 2hT10. RNAcentral's name for it is "bacterial SSU rRNA". It matches the Rfam family "Bacterial small subunit ribosomal RNA", at positions 63 to 684 of the family's 1533-position model. The record is from RNAcentral. Lineage: Bacteria; Bacillati; Bacillota; Bacilli; Caryophanales; Bacillaceae.